RNAcentral lists this ribosomal RNA (118 nucleotides) under Pteropus alecto (black flying fox). Lineage: Eukaryota; Metazoa; Chordata; Mammalia; Chiroptera; Pteropodidae. The record is from RNAcentral.
AUCUAUGGCCAGGCCACCCUGAACAAGCUCCAUCCUGUCUGAUCUCAGAAGCUAAGCAGGGUCGGGCCUGGUUAGUACUUGGAUGGGAGACCACCUAGAAGACCAGGUGCUGUAGGCG